GCUCAGAUAGCUGUCUUUACCCCAGCUGCAUGAGUGGUGGUGGCUGACAGCUCUCCUCUGAGUCCCUCCCUGGGAUUUGCCAGGGCUAAGUUCAUGCUCACAUCUUGGGACUGUAUGCACCAAAGAGUGCUCAUUGAGGGUGGCCUCCUUGACUUCACUUGAAACAUUUCUGACCUCUCCGUGGGUAAGCUGAGGCGUGGAUUUUGAUGACCUUGAAGUUCAAAUGUCUCCCUUCACCAAGUCCUAUUUCUUUUACUUCCCCACAGGUCUUGAUCCUUAUGAUUCCUCCUGGACCCAAGUCUCUGUCUGAAGUCUGUUUCUUGGGAACCUGAUCUGCAGAAUUAAAGAAAUGAAACCUAGUUAAUGGAGAGAGGAUGGAGCCAAACCAUGUUCUUCUCUUCUAGGAAAAAUCAGUGGAGGCAAUUUGGGGGCAGCAGUAGUUAGACUCGGACAUAAGGAGGACACCAGCAGCUUUCCCUGGAGAGGUGGAGGGAACCAGCAGUCUAGAAGGGAGAGUGAGAGAGCACACAGCCAAGCAAGGCGCCAAACUUCUGGCACUGAUACAAGGCUUGGGUCGCACAGUGAAGGAGAGUGCUUCUUGCUGACCCAGCAAAUACCAGAUGGCUCAGCCAGAGUACAAGUAACUCAAUUUCCGGAUGCACACUCAGACCUCCAGCAUUCUGUUCUGUAACUGUGAUGGAUCCGAAGAACUAACAGGUAUCUCCGUGGAUAGUGGUCUACCCUAGUUUAAGGAUGGGCCUGGGAACCAAAAUACAUGAAGAUUUCAGUUCUGCAACUUUCUGUCUGUAUGAUUUUGGCCAAGUUCCUUAAUUUUACUGAGCCUCCAUUUCCUCAUCUCUAAAAUGGGGGUGGGAGGAAUUAUUACUGCUUCAUAACAUUAGACUGUGAAGAAUUAGGUAAGUUAAUUACCUAAGACAUGGCAGGUGCUUAGCACAUGAUAUCCAUUAUAUUAGGUAUAAACACGUUAUUUAUUUAUUUAUUUUUAAAAGAUUUUAUUUAUUUAUUCAUGAGAGACAUACACACACAGAGAGGCAGAGACACAGGCAGAGGGAGAAGCAGGCUCCAUGCAGGGAACCUGAUGUAGGACUCGAUCCCAG
Molecule: long non-coding RNA, 1118 nt
Filed under: Vulpes vulpes (red fox)
Lineage: Eukaryota; Metazoa; Chordata; Mammalia; Carnivora; Canidae
Description: lncRNA (ENSVVUG00000026747.1)
Source: RNAcentral